Molecule: long non-coding RNA, 638 nt
Filed under: Helianthus annuus (common sunflower)
Lineage: Eukaryota; Viridiplantae; Streptophyta; Magnoliopsida; Asterales; Asteraceae
Description: hypothetical non coding rna
Source: RNAcentral
UUCGAUGGAUAGUAUAAUUGGCAAAAAAUUAGUAAGGUGUGUGGCUUAACGUCACCUCGCCAACUCAGCCAUUAUAGCGUUCCUGGGGAGCCAUCGGCCACACCGUCGGAGUUAAUGGGGGGCGCCAUCGUCCUUCCGUCAGCACGUUAACGAGCACAUUUGGAGUUGAUCGAUGUGAGAAUGGUUUAAAAGAAGUGGCGCUAUAGUUUAGAGGGGGCUUUAUACCACACCCUGCAAGUUAAAGAAAGAGGCUUUAAAACCCCCUGUGUGACGUGGCAGUGAGGUGACGCUGAGGUGGCAUGAUAAAGCCCCUAGGGGCUUUAUACCACACCCUCAGCCAAAAUAAUAUGUAGAUCACGAGCUACACGUACAUAGCUAAUUAAUCUACAUAUAUUUUUCUAUUUUACUUUUAGUUUUCAGGAAUACUAGUAACAUAUAAAAAGAAUGAAAAGCUAAAAAUAAAAAUAAAAUGGUCUUGUUAAAAUGGUCUUCUUGAAUUUUCUAGUAUCGCUUAAAUUUUCAAAAUUUCCAAUAUAUAAUGUAAAGAUCUCAUACAAAUAAGUCUUAAUAUGAGAAGCGAAGAAAGUUUCUUUCUUUUUUUUAAAUUUUUUUCCGUCUACUUAAACAUGAUGUUUUGU